RNAcentral lists this small RNA (476 nucleotides) under Arabidopsis thaliana (thale cress). RNAcentral describes it as "ATSL258340". The record is from RNAcentral. Lineage: Eukaryota; Viridiplantae; Streptophyta; Magnoliopsida; Brassicales; Brassicaceae.
AAAUUUUUAAAGGUUCAAUUCUUUAAAUUAAAGAACUGGAGUAAAUCGGAUAACACUUUUAAUUUUGGAUGCCUGAUAAAUCAAGCUUCCUUCUCUUCUUAUUCACAAUCAUUUUGGUCUUAUUUAUAUUUUGACUCUGAACUAUUGCCCAAUUUUUUAAGCAAUGUGUGACCUUGUACACUUAUUUUUUUCUUCAUCAAUUGAGUAAUAUAUGACCGUUUUUAAAAUUUUGAAUUGCAUAUACUGAAGAUUUGUUGCUGGAUUGACGACUACGAGAAGUUGUUGAGCCGCCAUUGAAGAGUCUCUGAGAAAGUUGAAGAGAGAGAGAGUUCGAGAGAGAGAGAGAGUUUGGGAAUCAGUCUUGUGUAUUUUAUUUUGUGUAGAUCAAGUUUAUCAUAAUUGUGUUUAUGAAAUCUUGAAAAAUAUCGAAUGAAUAAUAUUAUUUAAGAAUUACAUCAUAUGCAGAAAAAACUAAU